GACGAACCGUGCGAACGUUAUUCGGAAUCACUGGGCUUAAAGCGCGUGUAGGCGGGACGGCACGUCGGUCGCUGAAAUCCCCCGGCUCAACCGGGGAACGGGCGCCGAUACGACCGUCCUCGAGGGACGUAGGGGGACCUGGAACUUCCGGUGGAGCGGUGAAAUGCGUUGAGAUCGGAAGGAACGCCCGUGGCGAAAGCGAGGUCCUGGACGUUUUCUGACGCUGAGACGCGAAAGCCAGGGGAGCGAA
This 250-nucleotide ribosomal RNA is filed under the name uncultured bacterium. RNAcentral's name for it is "partial 16S ribosomal RNA". It matches the Rfam family "Bacterial small subunit ribosomal RNA", at positions 524 to 772 of the family's 1533-position model. The record is from RNAcentral.